Molecule: small RNA, 117 nt
Filed under: Marmota monax (woodchuck)
Lineage: Eukaryota; Metazoa; Chordata; Mammalia; Rodentia; Sciuridae
Source: RNAcentral
ACUGGGUGCAGGGGUCCAUGCCUGUAGUCUGAGCUACUCAGGAGGCUAAGGCAGGACGAUUGCUUGAGCCCAGGAGUUUGAGGCCAACCUGGGCAACAUAGCAAGACCCCAUCUCUU